Molecule: small nuclear RNA, 161 nt
Organism: Oryctolagus cuniculus (rabbit)
Lineage: Eukaryota; Metazoa; Chordata; Mammalia; Lagomorpha; Leporidae
Gene: U1
Rfam family: U1 spliceosomal RNA
About the family: U1 is a small nuclear RNA (snRNA) component of the spliceosome (involved in pre-mRNA splicing). Its 5' end forms complementary base pairs with the 5' splice junction, thus defining the 5' donor site of an intron.
Source: Ensembl
CUACUUAUACGGCAGUGGAGACACCAUGAUCAUGCAGGUGAUUUUUUUUCCAGGGCGAGGCUCUUUUAUUGCUCUGCAGAUGUGUUGACCCCUGUGAUUUCCCCAAAUGUGGGAAACUAUUAAUUUGCAGUAUUGGGGAACUGCGUUUGCAUGCUCCCCUA